GCACUAGGUGGCUCAGUUGGUACAGCAGCCGUGCAAUGUGCAGAGGCUAUAGUCCUCGACACGGUUGGUUGUCCUGGGUUCAAUUCCUAAUCCCAGGCC
Molecule: non-coding RNA, 99 nt
Organism: Characodon lateralis
Lineage: Eukaryota; Metazoa; Chordata; Actinopteri; Cyprinodontiformes; Goodeidae
Source: the annotation of a GenBank genome assembly